Molecule: non-coding RNA, 685 nt
Organism: Nicotiana tabacum (common tobacco)
Lineage: Eukaryota; Viridiplantae; Streptophyta; Magnoliopsida; Solanales; Solanaceae
Source: RefSeq, a predicted model, not a curated record
AACCCACAGGCGGACUACUACUAGCAAGAUUGCUAUGCGGGGAGGCACUCAACUUUGAAGGCCUUGACCUGGAAACAUAAGAGUGCAGGCAGAUGACCUCCUACCAGCUAUAGCAAGAAGAUUAACACACAAAAGCUAUAUAUUUUUUUAUUUAUGCCCGCGAGCAGAACCAAUCUUCUUCAGAUACACACCAAUCCCCAACCUAUGAAGGAACAAGGAUAUAAGUAUCGCAAUAUGAGUUUUCGGAGGGGGGGGCAAAUGUUAAAAAUGCAUAUAAAGCAGGCUUUCACCUUGCCCCUACUGAUGAACAAGAAGACACCUAUAAUAUGAACCAAAGUGGAUAGAUUCUGGGAGGAAAAAGAUGAUAAGAGUUGCAAUGAGUACAAGCAAAUGAAGCAUAAUAUGACCCAAUAGCAUUAGAUAAGCUGAACAAGUAAACAGCAGAGCCAGUCAUCCACAUAUCCUUGUAUCGAUACAAGACUGCAGAACAAGCUAUGAAGCAAACCAAGACCAAGCCCAGCCCAAUUCAGGAAGUAGCAGAGGAAAGACCAGGGAGGGGGGGAGCAAAUAAGAAGGAAAACCAAGGAGGGAAACCUAUAGGAAAAGGAAAGAGCCAGUUGGAGACCCCGGCAAAAGGGAGAACACUUUACCUUAACUUCAACAGUGCUUGAAGCCUGCAAUGCAU